UUGGAUUGAAAUCAAAUCUUGAGCUACAAAAUUGCACACCAACAACAACUUUAGGGUUCUUUUGGAGAUUGAAGAAUAGAAUUUAAGAAAAAAUUUUAUAAAGUUUUUAUGAGCAUUGGUUUUGUAUGAUUUGAAUUUGUAAUGACUUUGUAAGAGCUUUACAAAGUCAAGAUUGUUUUGGAUGACUCAGGUUUUUAUAAAAUAAAAUAAGGUUCACAUUUUGGGCAAUUUCAAGAGUUUUGUAGUAGAUCUAUAGGUGAAAUUUUGUUUCUUAAUGGUUACAGUUGUGUUUAAUAUGUGCUAUAAAUUUUAGCUUGAUCUAAAAAUUGAAUUGAGGAUUAUUGAAGUUUAAGUGGGUCGAGAUCUUGGAAAGUAGAAAUUUAGGUCUAGUAAAGAUUUUAAAGAUUUCUUGCAAUCUAUCAAUUAGAUUGGAGUAUAAAUUAUGUAUAUAAAUAGUAGACUUGUUUUUCUAUAAAUAUAAGAAUUUUAAGAUCAAUUAAAUGAUAUAAAAGAGAGAUGUUAACACUAGAAGAUUAGCAUGAAGGAUGAAAAAGGAGGCCGACCAACAUCUAAGCAAAUUUUAGGAUUUUUCUUUCAUAUGGUAAGUGUAAUUUUCUUCAAAUUCAUUAUACUUCUUUGUAACUAAGAGAUUAAGAGGUGUGUAAAAUUUUAAAUAAGAUCAAUGGUUUAAUCAAAAGAUAUCAAGGUUCUAAACUACCUUAGGAUUUGGUUUAGGAUUUAGGAUUUGGGUAGGAUUUGGUUAGGAUUUAGUUUAGAGUUUGAUUAGGGUUUGAUUUAGGAUUUAGGAUUUUUUUAGGAUUUGGUUUAGAAUUUAGGAUUUGGCUAGGAUUUGGUUAGAAUUUGGGAUUUUUUUAGGAUUUGGUUAGGAUUUGAUUUAGAAUUUAGAAUUUGUCUGAGAUUUAGUUUAAGAUUUAGGAUUUGAUUAAGAUUAGAUUUAGAGUUUAAAAUUUAUCUAAGAUUUGAUUUAGGAUUUAGAAUUUGUCUAGGAUUUGAUUGAAGUCUAUUAAGAUUUCAAUUAAGUUUAAAUUAGAACUUAAUU
RNAcentral lists this long non-coding RNA (1060 nucleotides) under Physcomitrium patens. RNAcentral describes it as "long non-coding RNA (PPAT_LNC002388)". Lineage: Eukaryota; Viridiplantae; Streptophyta; Bryopsida; Funariales; Funariaceae. The record is from RNAcentral.